RNAcentral lists this ribosomal RNA (252 nucleotides) under uncultured bacterium. RNAcentral describes it as "partial 16S ribosomal RNA". It matches the Rfam family "Bacterial small subunit ribosomal RNA", at positions 524 to 775 of the family's 1533-position model. The record is from RNAcentral.
UACGUAGGCAGCAAGCGUUGUUCGGAGUUACUGGGCGUAAAGGGUGUGUAGGCGGUUCUUUAAGUUUGGUGUGAAAUCUCCCGGCUCAACUGGGAGGGUGCGCCGGAAACUGGAGGGCUUGAGUAUGGGAGAGGAAAGCGGAAUUCCUGGUGUAGCGGUGAAAUGCGUAGAUAUCAGGAGGAACACCUGCGGUGUAGACAGCUUUCUGGACCAUCACUGACGCUGAGACACGAAAGCGUGGGUAGCAAACAG